UCUGAACUUAAAAUUCCCAUAUCACCCCAGC
RNAcentral lists this non-coding RNA (31 nucleotides) under Rattus norvegicus (Norway rat). Lineage: Eukaryota; Metazoa; Chordata; Mammalia; Rodentia; Muridae. The record is from RNAcentral.